AUGGCGGCGGCUGUGUGGUCCGAGGUCGAUGGUCGCAUCCAGCUCGACGACGGCACAGAUCCAGAAGCCCCCGCCAUGGCCGUGGCCGUGGACCUUGAUAUGGUGCAUCCAUGGCGGCGGUGGUGUGGUCCGAUGUCGACGGUCACGUCCAGCUCGACGGCGGCGCGGAUCCAGAAGCCCCCGCCGUGGCCGUGGCAGAACUGGUCGCCGGCUAGGGAGACGCCAGCGGCAUGGGUAGGGAGAGGGAGAAGGCGAAGGUCGCCGGUGGGCUCUGCCGAGAAUAGAUGGCGCGCUCUGCCGGGAACAGCAGCGUGGGCUUCCUCUCCUCCCAAGGGGAUGUGGCCGCGCGAGCUCGACGGGGAUGCGGCAGCGCGAGCGGCAUGUCCUUGA
This 390-nucleotide ribosomal RNA is filed under the name Triticum aestivum (bread wheat). RNAcentral's name for it is "partial small subunit ribosomal RNA". Lineage: Eukaryota; Viridiplantae; Streptophyta; Magnoliopsida; Poales; Poaceae. The record is from RNAcentral.